UAGGGAAUCUUCGGCAAUGGACGAAAGUCUGACCGAGCAACGCCGCGUGAGUGAAGAAGGUUUUCGGAUCGUAAAACUCUGUUGUUAGAGAAGAACAAGGACGUUAGUAACUGAACGUCCCCUGACGGUAUCUAACCAGAAAGCCACGGCUAACUACGUGCCAGCAGCCGCGGUAAUACGUGGGCGGCAAGCGUUGUCCGGAUUUAUUGGGCGUAAAGCGAGCGCAGGCGGUUUCUUAAGUCUGAUGUGAAAGCCCCCGGCUCAACCGGGGAGGGUCAUUGGAAACUGGGAGACUUGAGUGCAGAAGAGGAGAGUGGAAUUCCGUGUGUAGCGGUGAAAUGCGUAGAUAUAUGGAGGAACACCAGUGGCGAAGGCGGCUCUCUGGUCUGUAACUGACGCUGAGGCUCGAAAGCGUGGGGAGCAAACAGG
Molecule: ribosomal RNA, 429 nt
Filed under: Gemmatimonadota bacterium
Lineage: Bacteria; Pseudomonadati; Gemmatimonadota
Description: Gemmatimonadetes bacterium partial 16S ribosomal RNA
Rfam family: Bacterial small subunit ribosomal RNA
Source: RNAcentral